Molecule: ribosomal RNA, 467 nt
Filed under: uncultured bacterium
Lineage: Bacteria
Description: bacterial SSU rRNA
Rfam family: Bacterial small subunit ribosomal RNA
Source: RNAcentral
GAUGAACGCUAGCGACAGGCUUAACACAUGCAAGUCGAGGGGCAGCGAGGGAGUGCUUGCACUUCUGUCGGCGACCGGCGCACGGGUGAGUAACACGUAUGCAACCUGCCCUUGUCAGGGGGAUAAGCGAGGGAAACCUCGUCUAAUACCGCAUAUAUGAUUUAGAGGCAUCUUUUAAUCAGGAAAGAAUUAUCGGACAAGGAUGGGCAUGCGGGACAUUAGGUAGUUGGGGGUGUAACGGACCACCAAGCCGACGAUCAGUAGCCGGCCUGAGAGGGUGAUCGGCCACAUUGGGACUGAGACACGGCCCAAACUCCUACGGGAGGCAGCAGUGGGGAAUAUUGCACAAUGGGGGAAACCCUGAUGCAGCAACGCCGCGUGAAGGAUGACGUAUUUCGGUAUGUAAACUUCUAUCAGCAAGGAAGAUGAUGACGGUACUUGACUAAGAAGCCCCGGCUAACUACGUG